UAUUUUGAGAGUUUGAUCCUGGCUCAGGAUGAACGCUGGCGGCGUGUCUAAGGCAUGCAAGUCGAGCGGUCGUGUCUUACUUUCGUUCGACACUCCCUAAAUUCAAAAGUCAAAAAUCAAAAUUCAAAAUUAUGGAGUCCCGGUCGCCUUCGGCGACCGAGGACGAAAUAAUUACUUAAAUUUUGAGAUUUAAGAUUUGAGAUUUUAUAUCUGGAGUGGCGAGCGGUAGCGAGACACGACAGCGGCAAACGGGUGAGUAACACAUUGGUAACCUACCUCUAACACGGGCAUAACCCGGCGAAAGCUGGGCUAAUUCCCGAUACAUUCGGUUUACGCGAGUAGGCCGAGUAAAGGCGCAAGUCGGUUAGAGAGGGGCCUAUGGCCUAUCAGCUUGUUGGUGAGGUAAUGGCUCACCAAGGCAACGACGGGUAGCGGGCGUGAGAGCGCG
RNAcentral lists this ribosomal RNA (448 nucleotides) under Candidatus Buchananbacteria bacterium RIFCSPHIGHO2_02_FULL_39_17. RNAcentral describes it as "partial 16S ribosomal RNA". It matches the Rfam family "Bacterial small subunit ribosomal RNA", at positions 1 to 302 of the family's 1533-position model. The record is from RNAcentral. Lineage: Bacteria; Candidatus Buchananiibacteriota.